GGCCCAGUAACUUAGUGGUUAGAGCUCCUGGCGCAUCUCCAGAAGGUCCUGGAUUCAAACCCCAUCUUGACCA
Non-coding RNA from Suillus ampliporus, 73 nucleotides. NCBI's taxonomy places the organism in Eukaryota, Fungi, Basidiomycota, Agaricomycetes, Boletales, Suillaceae. The record is from the annotation of a GenBank genome assembly.